This 527-nucleotide ribosomal RNA is filed under the name Platytrigona hobbyi. Its description in RNAcentral is "partial 16S large subunit ribosomal RNA". It matches the Rfam family "Bacterial large subunit ribosomal RNA", at positions 1881 to 2626 of the family's 2925-position model. The record is from RNAcentral. Lineage: Eukaryota; Metazoa; Arthropoda; Insecta; Hymenoptera; Apidae.
GGCUUAUUGAUAAUAAUUUUAAGUCGAUCUGCCCAAUGAAAUUUUUAAAUGGCUGCAGUAUAACUGACUGUACAAAGGUAGCAUAAUCAAUUGAUUUUUAAAUGAAAUCUGGAAUGAAAGGAUUAAUGAAAUAUGUACUGUCUCAAUUAUAUAAAGUGAAAUUAAAAUUUUAAUAAAAAUGUUAAAAUUUUUUUAUGGGACGAUAAGACCCUAUAGAAUUUUAUAUUGGGAUGUUUUAGUAGUUGAUAUUAAAUUCAAUUCAAUAUUUGAUUGGGAGGAUUAUUAAACUUAAUUAACUUUAAUUUAUGUUAACUUUAAUUUAAGAAAAAAUAAUGAUCUCUAAUUUAGAAUUGUUAGAAUAAAUUACCUUAGGGAUAACAGCGUAAUACUUUUUUAUAGGUCACAUAGAAAAAAGUGGUUGCGACCUCGAUGUUGAAUUAGGAUAAAUUUUAAACGCAGGAGUUUAAUAAUUAAGUCUGUUCGACUUUUAAUAAUCCUACAUGAUUUGAGUUCAAAUCGACGUAAGU